Molecule: ribosomal RNA, 371 nt
Filed under: uncultured eukaryote
Lineage: Eukaryota
Description: SSU rRNA
Rfam family: Eukaryotic small subunit ribosomal RNA
Source: RNAcentral
AGCUCCAAUAGCGUAUAUUAAAGUUGUUGCAGUUAAAAAGCUCGUAGUUGGAUUUCUGGUUGGGGCCAACGGCGCACGUCGUGCGCCCGCGUCCCCUGCCAUCCGUCUGUUAAACCAGUAUGGCAUUCUCUUGCUGACUGGCGGCUCAGACAAUUUACCUUGAGAAAAUUAGAGUGUUUCAGGCAGGCUAGCGCCGGGAUACAUUAGCAUGGAAUAAUAGAACAGGACUUGAUUCUCUUCUGUUGGUUUGAGGGAGUUAAGUAAUGAUUAAUAGGGAUAGUUGGGGGCAUUAGUACUUAACUGUCAGAGGUGAAAUUCUUGGAUUUGUUAAAGACUAACUUAUGCGAAAGCAUUUGCCAAGGAUGUUUUCA